Molecule: long non-coding RNA, 1417 nt
Filed under: Zostera marina
Lineage: Eukaryota; Viridiplantae; Streptophyta; Magnoliopsida; Alismatales; Zosteraceae
Description: long non-coding RNA (ZMAR_LNC005365)
Source: RNAcentral
UUAUAAUCAACUUUAUCAGUCAGGAUCUUUGGUGUUCGUUCAUUUGAGCCUUCAAGGUUCAGGAUAUUCUGUAUUUCUGCCAAACCUGCUUUCUAAUCUUGAUAAAAAUACUACAUGAUUAGUGAUUACUAGUAUGUAUAGUAUUGGAAUAUAGUGAUUUUUUGGAUUUACAUCAUAAAUUUUUCAUCUCUAUUCUCUACCAUUGUUAAUGAUUUUUUUGAUUUACAUCAUGUAUCCAUCAUAAUAUGUUUUUCAAAUUGUUUAUGAUUGUAAGCUAGACAAAUUUAAUUCUCUAUCCAAUUACGGUCUCUACUUUCUUGGAGUUGCACCAAAUUAUACCUCUUCAAAGACAAGUUCUCUACUAAUUAAUUAAACAUCUGCUUGUAUUUUCUUAGGAUACUCUCUUUUAUAGAAAGGUUUGACAUCCUAGGUGGUGAGAGAGGAUCUCGCAUCCUGAGACAUUACCAAAAACCCACACCCUAGCACGCAAAGAGGGGGGGAAUACUGAUAGUACAAGGUCCAACACACAGACCAUAGUACUAAAAGACGUAUCCCAAGAUAUCUAAUACGCAGAGGAGGGGGGAGUACUGGUGAUACAGUAUCCCGAACUCGGUCACAACUUACCAGCAACUAGAAGUCCGGAUAGCCUAAGAUGAAUUGAGUUACCUAUUCUAGGGUUGGGGAGGUCCCAAGUCGAAUCUUAGGAAGAUCGACUUUCCUGAGGUCAGAAGUCGAUCCCCAGAAAGUCGAUCUCUGGAAAGUCGAUCUUGGGCCCCGAUCUGAUCAGUUAGGCAGUUAGGCGGUUACUGUCCUAAUGACCAGAUUACCCCCAUAAGAAUUCCUAUAAAUAGGAGGCAUCCCCCAUUCAUUAGAGGCGCGCAGGUCAUUUGGAGCGAAAGGAAUCCUAGCGAAGCAGAGCUCUGCGCACUUGAGUCCCGGUCCGAUUUCCCGCGGAGUUCCCUGCUUGGCGCUUGUUUGCGCGUCUUGGAGUACUGGUCGGGUUUCACCCCCAUCACUAGGGUUUGGGUUAGCAAUAACUAAAUCUAACCUAAUCACCCAUACUCAUCAUCCAGACAAAUCAAACGAUUGAUACCUUUUUGAUGAUACCCUCGUCCACUGGAUCGAGUGGCUCAACAAAAACAUCAACGGACCAGAUAUAUCCAAUCUUGGUUCGUCGACGGUCUUAGGAGUAGCAGAAGGUCCAUAAAUAUUGGUCUCUUAAGUGGAUAAAUGGAACGAAGGCAUAGUUUAAGUGGAUAAAUAUUUAUGGACUUUCUUCACUCAUCGCUUAUUGAAGAUCGGAACAUCAUUCGUAAUGGAAGACGAGAACAUGGAAGAUAGAGAUUGGCUAGUUCCGACCAUGAUGAAAGAUGUGAGAAAGAUCAACAAUAGUGAUUUCGGCAAAUAACGGUGUGUU